This 497-nucleotide ribosomal RNA is filed under the name uncultured bacterium. RNAcentral describes it as "partial 16S ribosomal RNA". It matches the Rfam family "Bacterial small subunit ribosomal RNA", at positions 28 to 507 of the family's 1533-position model. The record is from RNAcentral.
GAUGAACGCUGGCGGCGUGCCUAAUACAUGCAAGUCGAGCGAACAGACGAGGAGCUUGCUCCUCUGACGUUAGCGGCGGACGGGUGAGUAACACGUGGAUAACCUACCUAUAAGACUGGGAUAACUUCGGGAAACCGGAGCUAAUACCGGAUAAUAUAUUGAACCGCAUGGUUCAAUAGUGAAAGACGGUUUUGCUGUCACUUAUAGCUGGAUCCGCGCCGCAUUAGCUAGUUGGUAAGGUAACGGCUUACCAAGGCAACGAUGCGUAGCCGACCUGAGAGGGUGAUCGGCCACACUGGAACUGAGACACGGUCCAGACUCCUACGGGAGGCAGCAGUAGGGAAUCUUGCGCAAUGGGCGAAAGCCUGACGGAGCAACGCCGCGUGAGUGAUGAAGGUCUUCGGAUCGUAAAACUCUGUUAUUAGGGAAGAACAAAUGUGUAAGUAACUAUGCACGUCUUGACGGUACCUAAUCAGAAAGCCACGGCUAACUACGUG